GAGGAUGCCAAAUGAGCACUUUCUGUCUUAUCUUACUUUAUUCUCUCUUCCUCUUGCACACAGUGUGAAAUGAGUUCAUUAGGAGUCCAUUUCUCCUUUAGGCAGUUGUAACUAAUCUUAAACUGAUUAUAUUGUGCAGGGAGAGAGAUCAAAACUAAGUACACAAGCAGUUCCUCAUGUAAUUCCAACUUGAGUGACUUAAGUUUUGAAGCAAGAUGAGACAUUUCUAAAAUGUACUCCCN
Molecule: long non-coding RNA, 242 nt
Filed under: Nicotiana benthamiana
Lineage: Eukaryota; Viridiplantae; Streptophyta; Magnoliopsida; Solanales; Solanaceae
Description: long non-coding RNA (NBEN_LNC041512)
Source: RNAcentral